This 263-nucleotide ribosomal RNA is filed under the name uncultured bacterium. RNAcentral's name for it is "partial 16S ribosomal RNA". It matches the Rfam family "Bacterial small subunit ribosomal RNA", at positions 524 to 785 of the family's 1533-position model. The record is from RNAcentral.
UACGGAGGGGGCUAGCGUUGUUCGGAAUUACUGGGCGUAAAGCGCACGUAGGCGGCUUUGUAAGUUAGAGGUGAAAGCCUGGAGCUCAACUCCAGAACUGCCUUUAAGACUGCAUCGCUUGAAUCCAGGAGAGGUGAGUGGAAUUCCGAGUGUAGAGGUGAAAUUCGUAGAUAUUCGGAAGAACACCAGUGGCGAAGGCGGCUCACUGGACUGGUAUUGACGCUGAGGUGCGAAAGCGUGGGGAGCAAACAGGUAUUAAGCAA